This 499-nucleotide ribosomal RNA is filed under the name uncultured bacterium. RNAcentral's name for it is "partial 16S ribosomal RNA". It matches the Rfam family "Bacterial small subunit ribosomal RNA", at positions 899 to 1397 of the family's 1533-position model. The record is from RNAcentral.
ACUCAAAUGAAUUGACGGGGACCCGCACAAGCGGUGGAUUAUGUGGAUUAAUUCGAUGCAACGCGAAAAACCUUACCUACCCUUGACAUGUACCGAAGCCCGCUGAGAGGUGGGCGUGCCCGAAAGGGAGCGGUAACACAGGUGCUGCAUGGCUGUCGUCAGCUCGUGUCGUGAGAUGUUGGGUUAAGUCCCGCAACGAGCGCAACCCUUGUCAUUAAUUGCCAUCAUUCAGUUGGGCACUUUAAUGAAACUGCCGGUGACAAACCGGAGGAAGGUGGGGAUGACGUCAAGUCCUCAUGGCCCUUAUGGGUAGGGCUUCACACGUAAUACAAUGGCGCGUACAGAGGGUUGCCAACCCGCGAGGGGGAGCUAAUCUCAGAAAGCGCGUCGUAGUCCGGAUCGGAGUCUGCAACUCGACUCCGUGAAGUCGGAAUCGCUAGUAAUCGCGGAUCAGCAUGUCGCGGUGAAUACGUUCCCGGGUCUUGCACACACCGCCCGU